GAAGCCAUUUGAGGUUCUCCCUUACCCGGUGCUGUAUCUAUGCACGGAGCCGCCUGGAGGCAGCAUUCACACAGCUUGCUACAGGCCUGUCUUUGGAGAGUACACUUUGCUGGGGUUUCAUCAUACAGAAAAAAGCUAAGAAGAAAUUACACAAUAUUCCACUUUACUGGACACAGAAGCUCUGAGGUGAAGUUGACCAAAAUAUAUGGGAAGUUCAUCUGCAGAUUCCUAAUGUUGGGAUGUAAUUGAUUGCUAUCUGUCUCAGGAGUUGUACAUAUAGAGGUAAAAAAAGCAUAGAGAUAGGAAGAGAUCUGAUGGAGGUGAUCUCUGGAUUUAUGAUGAACUAUAGACUCAGAGGCCGCAGGGAAAGGAUGAAUGAACAAGGUCUGUUCGAUUGAGAGAGAAACAAGGAAUGUAUGUAAAUCUUCAAAUGUGUGAAAGACUUCAGCAAAGAUAAA
Long non-coding RNA from Chiroxiphia lanceolata (lance-tailed manakin), 458 nucleotides. RefSeq lists it as uncharacterized. NCBI's taxonomy places the organism in Eukaryota, Metazoa, Chordata, Aves, Passeriformes, Pipridae. The record is from RefSeq and is a predicted model, not a curated record. The transcript is spliced from 3 exons.